GUCGAACGGUAACAGGGAUUAGCUUGCUAAUUUGCUGACGAGUGGCGCACGGGUGCGUAACGCGUAUACAAUCUACCUUUUGCUGAGGGAUAGCCCAGAGAAAUUUGGAUUAAUACCUCAUGGUAUUAUUGAUAGGCAUCUAUUAAUAAUUAAAGGUUACGGCAAAAGAUGAGUAUGCGUCCCAUUAGCUAGUUGGUGAAGUAACGGUUCACCAAGGCAACGAUGGGUAGGGGUCCUGAGAGGGAGAUCCCCCACACUGGUACUGAGACACGGACCAGACUCCUACGGGAGGCAGCAGUGAGGAAUAUUGGACAAUGGGCGAGAGCCUGAUCCAGCCAUGCCGCGUGCAGGAAGACUGCCCUAUGGGUUGUAAACUGCUUUUAUACAGGAAGAAUAAGCCUUACGUGUAAGGUGAUGACGGUACUGUAAGAAUAAGGACCGGCUAACUCCGUGCCAGCAGCCGCGGUAAUACGGAGGGUCCGAGCGUUAUCCGGAAUUAUUGGGUUUAAAGGGUCCGUAGGCGGAUGAUUAAGUCAGGGGUGAAAGUUUGCAGCUCAACUGUAAAAUUGCCUUUGAUACUGGUCAUCUUGAGUUGUAUUG
This 600-nucleotide ribosomal RNA is filed under the name uncultured bacterium. Its description in RNAcentral is "bacterial SSU rRNA". It matches the Rfam family "Bacterial small subunit ribosomal RNA", at positions 61 to 654 of the family's 1533-position model. The record is from RNAcentral.